UUGUGAAGUGCCCCACUCCAAAGAGUGCCAUUCAAGUAUACUAAAAUAUGAUUGGCACUUUUUUGAGUGUCGUAAUUCACAA
RNAcentral lists this microRNA precursor (82 nucleotides) under Camelus bactrianus (Bactrian camel). RNAcentral also lists the same sequence under 3 other names. The record is from RNAcentral. Lineage: Eukaryota; Metazoa; Chordata; Mammalia; Artiodactyla; Camelidae.